UACAUUCUGGUUCACAUGCUAAUGUGUCAAUAAAUUUGAACCGAUACUUAUAAAUAGGUGAUAUUCCUCUUCUAUUGUUGUGCAGUACCUAUUAGGGAAGCCUGAUUUAGAAAGAUAUUCACCACCUGACCUUUCGGUUCAGGUAUGACGCAUGGCGGUGAUCUGGUUUGUUA
RNAcentral lists this non-coding RNA (173 nucleotides) under Gammaproteobacteria bacterium. RNAcentral describes it as "6S RNA". It matches the Rfam family "6S / SsrS RNA". From Rfam's summary of the family: E. coli 6S RNA was the first non coding RNA to be sequenced, but its function was unknown until recently. It consists of 184 nucleotides that fold into an extended hairpin structure with a large single-stranded internal bulge. Lineage: Bacteria; Pseudomonadati; Pseudomonadota; Gammaproteobacteria. The record is from RNAcentral.